AGAAUCAACGCUGGCGGCGUGCCUAACACAUGCAAGUCGCACGAGAAAGGGUAGCAAUACCUGAGUAAAGUGGCGCACGGGUGAGUAACACGUGACUAACCUACCUCCGAGUGGGGAAUAACUGAGAGAAAUCUUAGCUAAUACCGCAUAACACUUACGAGUCAAAGCAGCAAUGCGCUUGGAGAGGGGGUCGCGGCAGAUUAGUUAGUUGGCGGGGUAAUGGCCCACCAAGACGAUGAUCGGUA
RNAcentral lists this ribosomal RNA (245 nucleotides) under uncultured bacterium. Its description in RNAcentral is "partial small subunit ribosomal RNA". It matches the Rfam family "Bacterial small subunit ribosomal RNA", at positions 26 to 285 of the family's 1533-position model. The record is from RNAcentral.